GAAAGCAAUCCUCCAGGAAAUGUUCUUCAUUUCGGGACAUCACUUGAGAACUUGCCCUCUGCUGAAGGUGCUGCCUCACCAUGAGGUUAUACUCCUACCUCAGGGAUCACAAGGUGGCUCCCUGAACAGCUCCUUGCUGCCAUUUUGUGAUGACACCAUCUUUAACACCUGGCUUCUGAAGUCUCAUGGAGAGGUCUCUAUCCAGGGAGUACAUUGGAUACUUUCGCGGUCUCUGUGGACGGGGAGACAGCACACUGGAGACUAACACCAUGUUGGCCUGGACAUGAUGCAUGACCCUUACGCCCAUGUUCCAUUGGUGAGACCCAGUCGUGUGGAUCGCACUAGCUGCAUGGGCUGGGUUGUGGGUGUGGGUGGUGAAAAUUGUAGACUGGGCAUCUGCUCCCCAGAAGCAACUCAACAUGGUGUUGGGGGAGCAUGAAUCUUUGGUGGUCAGUAGUUUUUUCUACCACACCAUCCUAUGCAAAGCUGUGAAGUAACUGAAGUUUGUCUUGACUUCUCUAUCCAACCCAUCUCCCCGCAGCCUUCCAAUUCCCAGGCUCCUGACCUCUUUUUUUUUUUGAAGACGUGCUCUCAGAGAGCUGUUAAAUAACUAACCAAGGAAUUAGCUGGUAACCAGACAAGCAACGUAAUACCUAGCCCUUCCUAGGCAUUUGGUUUCUCUCCCUUCCCAAUAGAAGCCCUUCCAAAGCUCCAUGCCUUCACUAAUGCAGUGACCUCUGUCUGGAGCACUGUUCUUUUCUGGCUGUGAAAGGGCGAUUCUUCUUACCCUUUAAGAUCCAGCUCACAUUAUUAUUAUUACGAUUAUUAUUUUGAGACAGAGUCUUGCUCUGUUGCCCAGGCUGGGGUGCAGUAGUGUGAUCAUAGCUCACUGUAGCCUCAAAUUCCUGGACUCAAGCGAUCUUCCCGCCUCAACCUCCCAAGUAGCUGGGACCACACAGGUGCAUGCCACCACACCCAGCUAAUGUUUUAGUUUUUGUAGAGAUGGGGUCUCACUAUGUUGCUCAGGCUGGUCUCAAACUCCUGACCUCAAAGUAUCCUCCUGCCUUGGCCUCCCAAAGUGCUGGGAUUACUGGGAUUACCAUGCCCAGCCCCAGCUCAGAUUAUUAAAAAGUUAAAAACAAAACAAAACAAAACAAAAUAAAAAAAACCCUAAACAGGUGUUGGAGAGGAUGUGGAGAAAAGGGAAACUUUAUACACUGUUGGUGGGAAUGUAAAUUAGUACAACCUGGAUGAAAAACAUUACGGAGAUUUCUUAAAGAACUAAAGAUAGAACCACCGUUCAACUCAGCAAUCCUACUACUGGGUUUCUAUCUAAAGGAAAAGAAAUCAGUAUAUCAAAAAGAUACCUGCAUGCGUAUGUUUAUCGCAGCAAUAUUCAUGAUAGCAAAUCAUGAUAGCAAAUCAGCCUGUGGAAUCAACCUGAGUGUCCAUCGAUGGAUGACUAGAUAAAGGAAAUGUGGCAUAUAUACACAAUGGAAUAGUAUUCAGCUAUAAAAAAGAAUGAAUUCAGGUCUUUUGCAGCAAAAUGGGUGGGAUUGGAGAACACUACAUAAAACAACUCAGACACAGAAAGACAAAUACCUCAUGUUUUCACUUAUAUGUGGGAGUUAAACAAUGGGUCCAUAUGGAAGCAGGGUGGGGAGUGAUGGAACAGUGAGGUCGGGGAGUGAGAAGGGUGGAAUAAUAAUAAUAAUAAAGACUGGAUCAGAAUUCAACCCCUCAGUAUUAAUGACCCUUUGUACACCUUUGAGUUAUAGCAUUUAUCACACUGUUGUAUAAACAACUGUUGACUGGAAGCCUGUUUUUCCAGGGGCAAACAUAGUGCUUAAUUCACAAGGAGGUAAAUGCCCACAAGAGCAGUUCCAUGGGGUCGGGGAUUCUUUUUUCACUCUUCUAUCCCUGGGGCCUAGGACAGUGCUUGGACUUGCUCAUUAUUCGUUAAGUGAACAAUCUGUUUCUGCCCCAGCACAGUGCCUGGCAUGCAGUAGGCACUCAGUUAUUGAAGGACAGCAUUUGCAAGGUCAGAAGUGUUUGCUAAUCCUUGCUAGCAGUGGAGUUUCAGAUACUUUACUUGAAGGAUCGUUUUUUUCUUUAAAGAUAAUUUUGAUUCUGGAAAGUCCCUCUAGGUCUUGCUCAAAUUAUUCUACCUGGAUGCACACGUAUGUGACACACACACACACUCUCCUUUAUUCUCCAGCCCUCCUAAAUCCUUUUGAAGACAGAGGCCCAAGGAAAUGAGUUCUUGUAAAACCAUUUCCUUAUUUCUCAGCCCGGUGAAGAUAAACCCUGUUGGGUUGAGCUGCCAGAUUCUGUGCCCCAUCACUCCCACCCUGGCCCGGGGCCCCCACCCCCAGGGCUGGCUCAUCCUCAGGCCAAGCUGUUCCCACAAAGACACCGAGCCUGAGACUUAAAUUGGAUUUGCCUGUGGCUUUGCGCUCUUCAUGUCCUCCCGCCUUCGUUUUUGAUUUAUCGUUUUAAUCAGUCCUAGUCAAUCAUUCCCUCUCUGUCUUGCUCACCAUAAACACAACCC
RNAcentral lists this long non-coding RNA (2551 nucleotides) under Homo sapiens (human). Its description in RNAcentral is "long non-coding RNA NONHSAT216939.1". Lineage: Eukaryota; Metazoa; Chordata; Mammalia; Primates; Hominidae. The record is from RNAcentral.